AGUCAGACGUUUAACCUGCUAAAAAAGACAUUUUCAGCUCCAGCGCUGAAGAAGCAGGUCGGAUUUAAUCACCGAUCACCAAAUAGCCCUUUGGUUUAAUUAGGCCAUUUAAAGGUUAACUGCCUUCCACCGCCGAGCUGCCUCCAACUCCGUCAGCUCCACCCGUGUCUCUGGAGAAAAGACCGGAGAACAAUUUUUUUGUAAAGAUGAUGCGUUGCCAAAAAUACCGUCGCUCCAUGUGCAGCACAGACAGAUGUGAACAGCAGCAAUAACUGUGUCCAAUGCACAUAUUACACAAGUCACGUUCUUGUUAUGAAACGAUGGACCUCCAUUCAACUCUUCAGGUGUCCGUCUUGCCCUCGUCUUCAGCUCGGUUUCCACCUGGAGAACACACACACACACACACACACUCCCCACACACGAGGGUCGGUUGGCGGUGUCCGAUCACGCUGAUGGCGCCUCACUGAGAUGUCGGGAACAAUUACCUCUGCCUCGCUGCCACUCAGGCCCCCGGGGGGGGGGGGGCAGUCAUUAUCUUAACCAGAGGCCGCUCGCGACAGUUAAUUCACAUUAACAGCGGCGCCACCUGGUCGCCGGGCUGCAAUCAGACUCAUUAGCGCUCCUGCAAAGCUCCUUGAAGAUGGGACUUUUUGUUUUAUUUUUUUUGGGGGGCGUUUCCGUAAUGCAGCCGCUGUAAACCUGCUCUGACGUAAUCGUCUAAUACAAAGGCGGGAUUUAAUUCAGUCGUGUUCACUCCAACAACACAGUUAAUCCAACUUUCAGCUCUGAGAACACGAGGAGCCGUAUUUUGUAUUCUUGUGGGUGUGACAUCGGCCAAUGAGUUCAUUCCGUUGUUUUUAAUUGAUUAACACAUUUUUUUAAAAUUAGCUGCACAGGAGAUUUGACACUGAUUGAGUCCUUCCGUCUCUUCCUCCUCGUCCCCUUUUUGCUGCUCCUCUCGGCACGAAGACAAACCUCAGUCAACACAAGGGCGGGCCCUCCCGGGUGAUUGACAGGUCGCCACCACAGAGCGGUCAGUGUUUUUGAACCCUUCGACGUUGUGCUUUCACAUGGUGACUGCAGCAGCCUUUUCAGUCGCCUGAAGACGUCUUCGUCCAGUGUCCUUGUGUCUUCUUCAUCGUCUGCACUCAGGGUGUUGAGCUCCAUUCAGGAGAAUUACAAGGACGCGCCGAAUGCAUCAAAAAUGAUUGCAGCCUUGCUCUGCUUUUCAUGGUCCCCGGCUGAUUUUCCCUCCUGCUGUACAUUCAGGUAGCGACGGCAGCGUCGGACCUCGCUGUAAUCAUGGUGAUCGAGUCUGCCUGAUCAAAGGUCCACAUCCAGUUUGCUCUGUUUCUCACUUCAACUUGAUUCUCAGGAAGGAAUAAACUGUUUGGUUUUGUUUUUUGUCACUGCGGCUACAUGACACGAGGCCUUUAAGCCAUUUUAGCUCAUAAAAAGUGAACAAAUGAAAACACUGGUGCUCAUUUGCGAUAAAAUCCCACAUGCUCUCGCUCGCGCUCUGCGUCUAAUGUAACCUCUUACAAAUGAAAUAAUCAACAUGUUGCUUGCAACAUGAGUCAUUAAUUGAUAUUGAUAUCGCCCGGCCCUUAAAGUUGUCCCACUGCGCCAGAAGAAGCCUGCGUUUAAAUCCCCCGUUUCCUCGAGUGGGAAGCCAGAGAUUAGUCCAACGGCGACGUCCACAGCACGGACGGUGGUGUCCUUUGAUUGAGCUGUUGUCAUGGUUACCUGGCCGUUCAAUAGAUAC
This is a long non-coding RNA of Gasterosteus aculeatus aculeatus (three-spined stickleback), 1765 nucleotides long. The record is from Ensembl. Lineage: Eukaryota; Metazoa; Chordata; Actinopteri; Perciformes; Gasterosteidae.